This is a non-coding RNA of Podarcis lilfordi (Lilford's wall lizard), 5002 nucleotides long. The record is from the annotation of a GenBank genome assembly. NCBI's taxonomy places the organism in Eukaryota, Metazoa, Chordata, Lepidosauria, Squamata, Lacertidae.
CAGAGGUCUCAGGGCACUAGAAAAGAUUUGAGAAGAGGCAGACAGGUACUAGGGCUUCCAAGCAACAUCUUAAUCCAUGGUUGGGGAGCCAAUUUUCCUUCAGAUAUUUGCUGGACUACAACUUCCAUUAUUUCCUGACCAUUUUUCGGAUGGUUGGGGCUGCUGGGAGCUGGAGUCCUACAAAUAUCAGGACCCCUAACCCUCUCUUCGUCCCUGCAUGCAACCACAGGGCUUCCCAAAGUGUGUGGUCUGGGAGUUUCAUUCAGGUGGUUUGUGGAAGUGAAAGAAGGAGGCGGCUUUUUUCUUCCCCAGGUGAAUAAACUAUGGCUUGUGCAGGAUAGAGAUAGAUCCCAAGUUGGGGAAAGAGGCUGACAAGACACUUGAAAAGGAGCAGAGGGUAACUCAAAAAGCAUACACAGCAUAUCACGAUUCCUAAACAGGCAGAGAAAUCACUGAGUGGUCCACCAAGACCCUCCGCAAUUUUCAAAUGGUCUUGGGGCAGGGAGAUGUUUGGGAACCCCUGCCCUUCUGUAACUAAGAAUAAUACGUUUAACAAAAAUAAACACACACACCACCUACACCUUUCCUAUCACGUGUCUUCUCUUGUCUCCCAUGGGUUGAAUUGUAGAUUGUAAGUUCCUUGGGGUAGAGGGCUUGUCCUCUGACACUUUGUAAAGUGCCAUGCAUGCUGGUACUGGUGCUAUAUAAAUAACAAUAUCGGGAAGAAUUGCAUACCGUAUUUUAAUUACUUAAGCCAAGGCAUCCUUAAGAAGCUCUUGCCAGCCUCUCCAGGGAUGAUGGGGUGGAGCAGGGCUCUGGAGUUGCACGAUUCCUCCGGCACAUAAACCAUGAGUUUAUGGUGAACAUCUGUGGCAUGGGCACCUUGUGUGUCUGUGGGAAGGAAGGCAGGAAGGCCAAAAGUAGGUGGAGCCAGAGCCAAUGGAGCCACCAAAUUCCACUUUGGUCCCCAUCCCUCCCUGCUGAAUUCUGCAAAGGCAACCCUAAGAAGGUGUCAGAAGCUAACAGCCAGUGCCAGCCCUAGGACAGGUUUUCAGUAAGGAGGUUGGGGCUGCCUGAGAACAGACUGAACAUGGCAGGGCAGUGCCCUGUUUGCCCUAUUGGGCCAGCUUCCCCUGCAUGGAGGCCGCCUGAAUGAGUGAGAACCUGGAAACUCAGCAUUCUCACUUUGUGCCGGGAAGAAGUUUGCUGCAAAUACACCAAGGGGACAGUGAAAGAGGUGUGACGUGAAACUGGGCCAAAGGCACAGCCCCACUGUAUGUGUGUCCUCACUUCCUAUGUUUCCAUAAAUGUUCCUGAAGAGGGCUGGUACCUUGCUCCAAUUUAGCCAUCAAUUCAUCAUUAAAAAAAAAUUAUUGUAAGGCAUUUAUAAACGAUGACAACUUGGUCUUUUGAUUCGACUUUUCCUUGUAUGGAAGUCACACUUACUGGGUCAAUCGUUAAGGAAAGGGUUUCUGCAAUUUCUCCUUUUCAUAGGGGGAAAGUUGCUUCUGAGAAGAAUUCCCAGCUUUGGUCAUCCCUAUGAUCUCUGUACCCCACAAGCUCUUCAUCGGCAUGCUUCAGUUCCGGUCUGAUUGACAGGACUGGAAGACCCCACAGGCCAAAUCUGGCUCAUAGCAGCUGGUCUAUUAAUUUCCAUCCUGACAUUUGAUACAUUACAGACUUGCCGCCAAAAAUCAGUCCAGCGAUACCAAAUUUAAUAUGUCCGUUUCAGACACCCUCCCCAUGUCCGUGCAUCUUCUCUCAACAACAAUAGACUUGGUUUCUUUCCCUCCAUCCCACCCCAAUCUAGCCUCCCAUUUCCCACUCAACAGCCUCACCAUUUUCAGCAUUCUAUUCCAUAGAACCAGCUAGUGUUCAUUAACCCUCCAUGACAUCACAGCAGCUCAGCAAAUAGCCAAAGGUGCUCAGAAUUUAUUUUCAUGGUAAAGGCUAAUGGCAUUAAGAUUCAGAUCACCAAUGCAGAACAGUUUAUUUUUAAAAAUCCAACUAUUACACCAGCCAUUAGGUUCCUUUACAAGCUAGCUUAUCAUCAUGUCCUCCUCCUCGCAUCCUUCUAAUUAACAGUGUGAUAAAAUUGGCCCCUCAGAGUGCUUAUUUCCUGCUAGGUCUUGUUCUCAUAAGCAGCAGGUGAAAGCAGUCUGUGUGUACUGUACUACUUCAGCAAAAAUAAAUCCCUUACGUAGAAAACAUGUCAGGCUAGCACCUGCCUUCUCCCUCACAUUCUAAUCUUGAAAACUUAUCCUGUCCGUGUGGAGCAAAAUUCUAUUCUAUCCCCACAAUCGAGUAAUAAGGUUACUGUUUCAUUAUGCUGUCUCAUGACAUCUGUGGCUUAUAGAGUUACCAAACUGAAAUACCCAAAUGGACAAACAUCUUGGGAGCUGUGCAAGAGAAGCUCCCUCCCUUUACAGUGUUACAAUCAACGCCAAGUUUUGCCAAGCAAUGCCCAAGAUUCCAGGGGUUUUGGCCCUCUUCCACAGUCUGUGUUCCUUUGGGGAAAUGAAGGUGCAGCAGAAAAGUUAGUGACUUUUAAGAUAUGUGGUUCAUUCACAUAUAUGCAAACUGAGUGUAGGUGGGGGGAGUGCAGAAGUUACUGGCAGACAGAGGCACCCCUGCCCUCUCUCUCUACCUGCCAAGAUGGUUCUGACCUUUGUUGUUCUUUCUUGUUCUCAGCAUACCCUUCUGGCAGGUAACUCCUCCCCUGCUAUCCCAAGCCUUGUUUUUUAGAGCCACAUUUUUCCUGCAGCACAGCCUGCCAGGGUCCAAGGAUUUCUCUGUGAUGUUGGUCAUCAACACAUUUUCUCAUACUAAUGUCUCUAUCCCAGGUGAGGCCCUGGCUUGAAAAGGAAGCUUAGCCUGUAUUCUGCAAUGGCCUGGAACCUUCUCUUCAAUAUUCCAAAUAUUAACUAGAUCCUGACAUUCAUUCAUUUAUUAGGGGUUUUUGUGGGGAGGGGGAUCCUCCCCACAAAUUUAUAACAAUACAGACUGUACAGUGGGAUUCAUGCUUAGAGUGAGGAGGAAAAUUGUGCAACUGGCUCUACCGGUGUAUCCCAAAUUUGAGUCUCCAGCUGUUUUUGGACUACAACUCCCAUCAUCCCUAGCUAGCAAGACCAGUGGUCAGGAAUGAUGGGAAUUGUAGUCCAAAAGCAGCUGGAGACCCAAGUUUAGGAAUCACUGCUCUACCCCAUAUACAGCCCUGGAUUUAGGGAGGUGCAAGCUGUGCCCCCCCAGGGCACCAAGCCAAGAGGGCAUAAAAUUGAGAAGAUCCAUAGUUGAAAAUAUGGGGGCACAAAAUUUUGGGCUCACACAGGGCACUGUUUUAUGAAAAAUGACCAAAGCCUGCCCCUGCCCUACUGGUUGACAUUUGGAACCUUCCAAUUGAGCAGCUGAUGAUGCCUAGUGGUUCCUUGGUGAAGGGCCUUAGUUAAGUGCAUUGUAAAGUGUAAAAGAUCCUGGGUUCAGUUCCUAACAUCUGCAAGUUGGGCUGGGGAAAAACCUUGCCUGAAACCCUGCAGAGUCUUUGGCAGUCAAUGUAUACUAGGCGUAGCCAACAUUAGGGCAUCAAGAUCUUGUUGGACACUCAACCUCCAUCACUCUUGACCAGCAGUCUAGUGACACCUGGAGGCAGGCAUCUCAUUGGCUGCCCCAAUGUAGAUGGUACUCAACUAAGUGGAACAAUGGUUUGACUCAACCUAAGACAGCAUCCUGCGCUCCUAAUUCUGCAGGCACCUCUGUCACGUGGAGUCCCAUCUGUGAUGCAUACCUGUCCAUGCUCAAUGUGCAGACAUUGGGUGAAGGAAGGAUUGACUGACCAGGCAAUAUGAAGGGUUUGGAGUCAGCAGCAUUGCUGUGUGAGUCAGAGCAGGGUAUACUGGGCUAGAUUUUCUCACCUGCUUUUAAGGCAGCUUGCUAUCUUCCUUACCUUCUGCACACAAAGUUGUCCUGUCAUUGAUUCCUCGUAGACAUUAGAUGCCCUUUCCUUUGAUUUUAUUUCCCUCUCCAAUCAGCCCACGCUAACAAGAGGCACCACACGUUCUUUCAGGGGAUAAGGCUCCCGCUGUAUUUGGUUAAUGUUCUGCGACCUUUUAAUCUUUUACAGACUUUUCGAUGCAGCUCAAUGCUAGAAUUGAUUUUACUCUUCUUUUUCGGGAAGGAGUUCCUGAGGCAGACAUCUAGGGCCCGUAAAUUCAGGCUGGCAUUGUAAAAACCAACGUUACAAAGUGGGAGGCACUGACCUUUUGCAAAAGCGACAGGAGAAUGAGAGAAGGACAACAAGAACAAGAUAUACAAAAAGCAACCUGCACCUAGUUGCUGCGUUACACUCAGAACUCAGCUUCACUGCCAAAUUGAGCCUGCAAGUCAGAACAAGCCCAAUUAAAAUUAAUGAACCAAAGAGCCUGUACCUUAGAGAGAGCCUUCUCUCUUCCACAUUUGAGAUAUAAGUGCACACACCUUCAAUCAUUUUACAUAAUUAAAAAUUCCCAGUUUACAGAUGGUAAUCAUGCGGUCUUCAGAGGCCUUUAGUGUGGCCAACGGGGGUGUCCUACCUCCAAUUUCCCCCCAACUGUUAGGUGAGCUGGGAGGGAGUGUGGUUGAGAUCUUGGCUGUGUCCUGGAAGGCCUGCUCCCUGCCUUGCCGGCCUUUCCCACCUGACCUGAGAGAGGGCAGCCCCUGGACUGACUCCAGCUACAAAAGCUGAGGCUGCUGAACAGACUCUUGGGCUGGGGGCAAUGUUUAAGAGAGGGGGUUGUUGUUGCCGUUAUUGACAUUAAAUUUUUUUGUAUUUUUAUUUUAGAUCUUAUUAUGAUUUAUGUGGUAAUGGUUCAAUUUGGUUGUGUACAUUUGACGUUUUAUUUAUUGUUUACGACUACUUUUACUAUGUUUGUAAUUAUGUGAUCCCCCCCCCUUCAUGUUGUAAGUUGCCUUGAGCAUGGAUUUAACUAUGGAAAGGUGGCAUACAAAUAAAUUUAUGUAUGUAUUGUGA